This 305-nucleotide ribosomal RNA is filed under the name uncultured bacterium. RNAcentral's name for it is "partial 16S ribosomal RNA". It matches the Rfam family "Bacterial small subunit ribosomal RNA", at positions 505 to 807 of the family's 1533-position model. The record is from RNAcentral.
ACAGCAGUCGCCACGGUAAUACGUAGGGUGCAAGCGUUGUCCGGAAUUAUUGGGCGUAAAGGGCUCGCAGGCGGUUUCUUAAGUCUGAUGUGAAAGCCCCCGGCUCAACCGGGGAGGGUCAUUGGAAACUGGGAAACUUGAGCGCAGAAGAGGAGAGUGGAAUUCCACGUGUAGCGGUGAAAUGCGUAGAGAUGUGGAGGAACACCAGUGGCGAAGGCGGCUCUCUGGACUGCAACUGACGCUGAGGCGCGAAAGCGUAGGGAGCAAACAGGAUUAGAUACCCCAGUAGUCCCUGUCUCUUAUAC